GGCGUUCCGCCCGUGAUCUUUUGCGAUCGUUCGGUGGUGCACCAAGCUUCUGUGUCCCCUCCGCCUUCUCCUCCUCAACGAGCUCAGCGCACUUCACCCUGUACGCUGAUUCACGUGGCCAGGCCCCCUCUCUCUCCCCCGGUGUCGCGAGUUCUCGCGUCCAAGACAGGAGGACACAAACCAAUGAGAGCAAAGCAGAAAAGAAGCUUGACUUGAAAAAAUGGGUCGACGUCGUAAUCAGGCGCUGACACGUUCUGUCGCACAGACUCUCACGUGCGCACACCGGUGGUAUGCGCACGAUCCCCAUUAACGAAGAAAAAAAAGGAGAAAAUAUGAAGCGGUGAGUCGACGUCAUGCCUCCGCAGUUGACAGUGUUACUCUCAGCGCACGCAGGCACGUGUGUCUGUCGGCCUGCUCUCUCUCUUGCGAGAGAGGCGCGCUCUCACCUUGCCGUUCAUGGGGACACCCCUCCGGGCCAACGCCGACGAUGCACUGUAAGCAUCGACUCUACUCCGCUUUUUCAUUAUGGUUUACGUUUCGUCUUUUUUGUUUCUGAAACGGGUAUUGCACAUCCGCGCCCACCCCUUCCGCCCUCUCGCUCUCGGCCCACUCAUCUCCCCGACUGAACGGACGGCAUCCUGCGCAUGGCCGCCGUGACCAUGGAUACACGCACGCACGCGCUUCUGUGCGCUCCACUUUGCGGCGGAAACCUCACGUGCUUUCGACCAG
RNAcentral lists this unclassified non-coding RNA (729 nucleotides) under Leishmania donovani. RNAcentral describes it as "gene:unknown". Lineage: Eukaryota; Euglenozoa; Kinetoplastea; Trypanosomatida; Trypanosomatidae. The record is from RNAcentral.